This 208-nucleotide unclassified non-coding RNA is filed under the name Hevea brasiliensis (rubber tree). The record is from RNAcentral. Lineage: Eukaryota; Viridiplantae; Streptophyta; Magnoliopsida; Malpighiales; Euphorbiaceae.
AAAAAAACCUACUCUUAUAGCUGCAGGAGGAAUCCUUCCCUGAGGGAAUGAAGAUAGAUCGCAAUCAAUUCAGCUCGGGCCCCGUUGCUCGUAACUAGGAGGUGGCACCUUUACAGAGCAAUCAAGCGGUGUGUAUUCAGGGUGAACCAAAGGAAUCGAUGGUGAACUCCUGUCUUGACCCACGCCCUGGGAGGAAUUCCUUUUUAGA